This 515-nucleotide ribosomal RNA is filed under the name uncultured bacterium. RNAcentral's name for it is "partial 16S ribosomal RNA". It matches the Rfam family "Bacterial small subunit ribosomal RNA", at positions 28 to 523 of the family's 1533-position model. The record is from RNAcentral.
GAUGAACGCUGGCGGCGUGCCUAAUACAUGCAAGUCGAGCGAAUGGAUUAAGAGCUUGCUCUUAUGAAGUUAGCGGCGGACGGGUGAGUAACACGUGGGUAACCUGCCCAUAAGACUGGGAUAACUCCGGGAAACCGGGGCUAAUACCGGAUACCAUUUUGAACCGCAUGGUUCGAAAUUGAAAGGAGGCUUCGGCUGUCACUUAUGGAUGGACCCGCGUCGCAUUAGCUAGUUGGUGAGGUAACGGCUCACCAAGGCAACGAUGCGUAGCCGACCUGGGAGGGUGAUCGGCCACACUGGGACUGAGACACGGCCCAGACUCCUACGGGAGGCAGCAGUAGGGAAUCUUCCGCAAUGGACGAAAGUCUGACGGAACAACGCCGCGUGAGUGAUGAAGGCUUUCGGGUCGUAAAACUCUGUUGUUAGGGAAGAACAAGUGCUAGUUGAAUAAGCUGGCACCUUGACGGUACCUAACCAGAAAGCCACGGCUAACUACGUGCCAGCCGCCGCCGUAA